This 232-nucleotide ribosomal RNA is filed under the name uncultured bacterium. RNAcentral's name for it is "partial 16S ribosomal RNA". It matches the Rfam family "Bacterial small subunit ribosomal RNA", at positions 85 to 334 of the family's 1533-position model. The record is from RNAcentral.
CAAUACAGCAGUGGCAGACGGGUGAGUAACACGUGGGAACCUUCCUCGGGGUACGGAACAGCUCAGGGAAACUUGAGCUAAUACCGUAUACGUCCGUAAGGAGAAAGAUUCAUCGCCCCGAGACGGGCCCGCGUCGGAUUAGGUAGUUGGUGGGGUAACGGCCUACCAAGCCUACGAUCCGUAGCUGAUCUGAGAGGAUGAUCAGCCACACUGGGACUGAGACACGGCCCAG